Molecule: ribosomal RNA, 497 nt
Filed under: uncultured bacterium
Lineage: Bacteria
Description: partial 16S ribosomal RNA
Rfam family: Bacterial small subunit ribosomal RNA
Source: RNAcentral
GAUGAACGCUGGCGGCGUGCCUAAUACAUGCAAGUCGAACGGACGGACGCUGCUCUUGCUUCUCUCACGUUUGCGGCGGGCGUGUGUGUAACGCGUGUAUACCCUACCUGUCUUUCUGGGAUCACUUCGGAACACCGGCGCUUAUACCGGAUGAUCUUUUGAACCGCAUGGUUCAAUGGUGAGAUACGGUCUUGCUGUCUCUUAUCGAUGGAUCCGCGCUGCAUUAGCUAGUUGGUACGGUAACGGCUUACCAAGGCAACUAUGCAUAGCCGACGUGAGAGGGUGAUCGCCCACAUGGGAACUGAGACACGGUCAUGAGGCCUACGAGAGGCAGCAGACGGGUAUCGUCCGCAAUGGGCGAAAGCCUGGCGGAGCGACGCGGAGUGAGUGAUGAAGGUCUUGGGAUCGUAAAACUCUGUUAUUAGGGAAGAACAUAUGUGUAAGUAGACGUGGAGAGCUUGACGGUACCGAAUAAGAAAGCAACGGCUAACUACGUG